CACAUGAUUGGGAUAUUGAUGAUUUUCAAAACCAGGCACUACAAGAAAAUACAUAUUCAGCGACUAAGAUUCGAGUCGCCGAAUAACCAUAUUUGGUCGCCGAAAUCUUUUCGCGACUAGAAUACGCUUCGUCGCCGAACCCUAGUCACUGAAAGGUUUUGGCGACCAAUAUUGUGUGGUCACCUAAGGUACACCAACAACGACCAACGUUUGGUUGCCGAAGCAACUUUUCAGCGACCAAAUUUGUUGUCGCUAAUUCCCACGCCGACCAAAUAGUUGGUCGUGGAAUGUUUGUCUUCCGCUACCAAAAAUAUGGUCACUGAAUGUCUAUCUUCCCCCACCAAUAGUUUGGUCGUAGAAUGUAUUGGAAUGCAUUGGCAACAAACAUUUUUUGGUGGCAGAAAGUAUUAACCUGUAUUUAAUUAAUAAUUCAAAUUAUAAGCUUAAUAUUUAUUUUUGGGCUCGUUCCAAAUCCUGUACAACCAACACAGCCUAUCCAUCAUCCAUAUUGCACAAUACAUUUGCUCAUCGAAAUAGAAGUAUACACAAUGUUGGAGAAUCCAUAAUCAUUUAUUAUAAAUAUCAUCAUCUAUAAGUCUAAAGUCAAGCAAACCUAUUAACCAUUCAUCAAAAUGUUUCAUCCAUACCAUAUGUUAAGGUGAUAAUCAUCACCAAACACAUCAAAAUGUAAAUUAAAAAUGCCAAAAUAUCUGAUCUUACAAGUCAUCCAAACAACCAUCAUGUAGAUAAAAAUAUGAAUAAACAAAAAAUU
This 772-nucleotide long non-coding RNA is filed under the name Phoenix dactylifera (date palm). RNAcentral's name for it is "long non-coding RNA (PDAC_LNC018376)". Lineage: Eukaryota; Viridiplantae; Streptophyta; Magnoliopsida; Arecales; Arecaceae. The record is from RNAcentral.